This 697-nucleotide unclassified non-coding RNA is filed under the name Hevea brasiliensis (rubber tree). Lineage: Eukaryota; Viridiplantae; Streptophyta; Magnoliopsida; Malpighiales; Euphorbiaceae. The record is from RNAcentral.
GAAAGGAACACUUUGAACAGCCCUUUUGGGAACCCAUACAAGUUGCUCACAUUCAACUUCAUUGCCUGUACUAUAGCAAGAAUUCAAGCCUCUUGCUAGAUACCGAGUCCCAGGAUGAAGCCUACUACGUCGAGCAGUGAGAGCAACAACCCCUUCUUGCUGACCUAAGCUUCCAAAACUUCGGGAUUCUGCAAAGCCCUGCAGAAGAACAACACAAUGCUCUGGAAGUCCUAUCUUUUUGAAGGGCAUUGAAAACCAUUUAUUCCACACAAAUUCAUCAUCAGGGUUCAGCAAGGGCAUACGACUUGGAAAAGGUCUAGUAAUAUCACGUGAUUCACAAAAAUAAUGCUUGCCAUCAAUAUCAAGCUCCAUCACUUCUUGAACAUUCUUAGUUUCACCUUUGCCCAGUGGCUGAGGGUUUUGAAGUGAAAUCUUGAUCCAUUGGGUCUCUGUUACAGUAUAUAUACAUCCACCCCCAGGCAAAUUCGGAAUGCUGACCGAUAACUUUGUCGCAACAAGAAGUAAACCAUAGCUCCCAAGAGAAGCAUAGCCUAGCACAGCUCUGGCAUAGGUUAUACUCUUGCACAGCCAUUUUGAACCAUUCGUCACAUAAUCUAAGGCUUCAUUUUGAGAAUUGAAAAUAUCAUAUCCUGUCUUUGCAUUAUAGCGAAGACUCCCAGUUGUGGGAUCAACAUAG